This 399-nucleotide ribosomal RNA is filed under the name Arabidopsis thaliana (thale cress). Lineage: Eukaryota; Viridiplantae; Streptophyta; Magnoliopsida; Brassicales; Brassicaceae. The record is from RNAcentral.
CUUUUCGGGCGUUUUCGUGAUUUGGGCUAUAUUACGGACCCAAAAUUACUUGUUCAAGCAUUGUUUUCGAAUUUUUUCAUGCAUCAAAGUUCGUUAAGACUAGAUGGGGUAUCCCUAUAUAGCGGGUGAGACCCACGGCAAAUGGUUCAUCAAGUCUUCAAAAAAGMAUAUAUAAAAUUGCAUUGCAUAUACUMACGGAUGCGAUCAUACCAGCACUAAUGCACCGGAUCCCAUCAGAACUCCGCAGUUAAGCGCGCUUGGGCGAGAGUAGUACUAGGAUGGGUGACCUCCCGGGAAGUCCUCGUGUUGCAUCCCUCUUUUAUGUUUAACCUUUUUUUUUUUGGUUAAAACUUUAUGACUCCAUAACUUUUAGACCGUGAGGCCAAACUUGGCAUGUGA